Molecule: ribosomal RNA, 468 nt
Filed under: uncultured bacterium
Lineage: Bacteria
Description: partial 16S ribosomal RNA
Rfam family: Bacterial small subunit ribosomal RNA
Source: RNAcentral
GACGAACGCUGGCGGCGUGCUUAACACAUGCAAGUCGAACGAUGAUGCCAGCUUGCUGGUGGAUUAGUGGCGAACGGGUGAGUAACACGUGAGCAACCUGCCCCUGACUUCGGGAUAACCGCGGGAAACCGUGGCUAAUACCGGAUAUGACGCGCUAUCGAAUGGUGGGGUGUGGGAAGAUUUAUCGGUUGGGGAUGGGCUCGCGGCCUAUCAGCUUGUUGGUGGGGUGAUGGCCUACCAAGGCGACGACGGGUAGCCGGCCUGAGAGGGUGACCGGCCACACUGGGACUGAGACACGGCGCAGACUCCUACGGGAGGCAGCAGUGGGGAAUAUUGCACAAUGAGCGCAAGCCUGAUGCAGCGACGCCGCGUGAGGGAUGACGGCCUUCGGGUUGUAAACCUCUUUCAGUAGGGAAGAAGGCCUUCGGGUUGACGGUACCUGCAGAAGAAGCGCCGGCUAACUACGUG